AGAGUUUGAUCAUGGCUCAGGCCUUUCGCUGGCGGCGUGCUUAACACAUGCAAGUCGAACGGCCCUCCCUUGAAAGAGUUUUCGGACAAUGGAGAGGAAUGCUUAGUGGCGGACUGGUGAGUAACGCGUGAGGAACCUGCCUUCCAGAGGGGGACAACAGUUGGAAACGACUGCUAAUACCGCAUGACACAUUUGAAUCGCAUGGUUUGAAUGUCAAAGAUUUAUCGCUGGAAGAUGGCCUCGCGUCUGAUUAGCUAGUAGGCGGGGUAACGGCCCACCUAGGCGACGAUCAGUAGCCGGACUGAGAGGUUGACCGGCCACAUUGGGACUGAGAUACGGCCCAGACUCCUACGGGAGGCAGCAGUGGGGAAUAUUGGGCAAUGGGCGCAAGCCUGACCCAGCAACGCCGCGUGAAGGAAGAAGGCUUUCGGGUUGUAAACUUCUUUUAAGAGGGAAGAGCAGAAGACGGUACCUCUUGAAUAAGCCACGGCUAACUACGUGCCAGCAGCCGCGGUAAUACGUAGGUGGCAAGCGUUGUCCGGAUUUACUGGGUGUAAAGGGCGUGCAGCCGGGACAACAAGUUCGAUGUGAAA
Molecule: ribosomal RNA, 593 nt
Filed under: uncultured bacterium
Lineage: Bacteria
Description: bacterial SSU rRNA
Rfam family: Bacterial small subunit ribosomal RNA
Source: RNAcentral